RNAcentral lists this transfer RNA (66 nucleotides) under Channa asiatica (small snakehead). RNAcentral describes it as "tRNA-Cys". Lineage: Eukaryota; Metazoa; Chordata; Actinopteri; Anabantiformes; Channidae. The record is from RNAcentral.
AGCUCCGAGGUGUUAUUCAUAUUAGAUUGCAAAUCUAAAGAAGCAGCUUAACGUCUGCCGGGGCUU